GCGGGGCUGAGAGGAGAGGGGGGCGAGGCGGCUGCGGGAGGCGACCCCAAGCGGCCACGGGAGACCCCCGGGGAGAAGGCGAGGCGCUCCCCCGGCCGGCCCUGAGGAGAGGGGCGGCUGCGAGCACCCCUUCCCCGGCUCUGUGAGGGGGGAACGGGGCGCGGUUGGGCUGUGACAGAGCCGGGGGUAUGGGGGGCACACGGGCAGGGCGAGCAACUUCGCUUUCCGUGCCUUGAAACGGGACGGAGCCAGCCGAGACCGGGCUCCCCCCCCUCUAUAUAUACACACACGCGCUCGGUGUGGCGGUGGGAGGGGAGCGGGGCCAUGUCCCCAGCCCUGCCGGGGGUUUUUGCGGUGCCGGGGGCCGCCCUGACGCCCGGCUGUCCCCCAGGUGCUGCGCGGCGCUGGAGAUCGGCAGCCGGCGGGGCGAGGCGAGGCGCCUAAUGGAGGCGGCGGCGGGGCGCUGAGGGAGCGGAGAGGCUGCGGCUGUCAGCGCUGCCCGCAGAAAACAAAAAGUGGAUUCUGUUCCCAUAAGCCGCUCUUGCAAAAUCUGCACAAACAUUUAUUAGUCUAGACACAAAAUAUUCUCAGCCGGCCUCAGCCUGACGAUGGCAAAAAGAAAUAAAAAUAAUAAUAAUAAUAAUAAAAAAAAGAAAAGGCAAGCUAAUAUUGUACUUGGCUGUGAAAAGGGAAGGGGGGAAUCAUGCCCCAGGCUAGUGAAGCUGUAACAUUUUGCUGGGGCUGCCUACAACAACAGAUGCAUCUCGUUCCCCUGGGCUUCCAGUCCUGCCUAUUCUCUUCUGCUGAACUUGGCCGCUCGCAAACAUUCCCUGUCACUCAGAAAACGCCUUCAGUCUUCACUCACUGCAGCAUUCACAAAGUGAAUGCCUUCCUGUAAGGUGAGCCCGGAGCGGCGUCAGGCAUUGCUGGGCUCCUCGUCCGGCGGCGGUGGUGAAGUGAAAGAUGCCAAAUGUGAAGUUUGACAGUGAGCUCGGGGGCUUGUGCUGGCCCGGUGGCUCUCUAAGCCCCCGUGUCUGAGCAGCGGGAGCAUCCGAGCAGCACAGGACGGAGCUCAGCAAGAGGCUGGGGUCAGGGCACUGCUGCAAAUAGCAAUGCUUUGCUGGCUGCAGAAGUUAACCAGGUACACAGCGCUGUUUUACUACAUGGUGGAGACCUACAGAGAGUGUUUCUGCCCUCCUUUUUAGCUGAAACAUCCCCAGAUUCUAAGGGGAAAAGGAGUAGAAGGGACUUGCGGAGUAAUGUUCUAGUGAAACCCAGCCUUCCUAAAGAAGCCUGCCUGAAUAAUUCCUGUGAAUAACAGACUCUGUUCAGCUCUUUCCUAACAUAGAAACGGUGCUGACUGCUUCUUCAGAGUAACAUAAGUUAGUGAUGCUACUGAAAUAGUUGUGGUUCAGACGUAGAUCUGAUUUCUCCU
Molecule: non-coding RNA, 1435 nt
Organism: Anas platyrhynchos (mallard)
Lineage: Eukaryota; Metazoa; Chordata; Aves; Anseriformes; Anatidae
Source: RefSeq, a predicted model, not a curated record